GAUGAAGAACGCAGCAAAAUGCGAUAAGUAAUGUGAAUUGCAGAAUUCAGUGAAUCAUCGAAUCUUUGAACGCACAUUGCGCCCGCUGGUAUUCCGGCGGGCAUGCCUGUUCGAGCGUCAUUUCAACCCUCAAGCCCCCGGGUUUGGUGUUGGGGAUCGGCGAGCCUCCGCGCCCGCCGUCCCCUAAAUCUAGUGGCGGUCUCGCUGUAGCUUCCUCUGCGUAGUAGCACACCUCGCACUGGGAAACAGCGCGGCCACGCCGUUAAACCCCCAACUUCUGAACGUUUGACCUCGGAUCAGGUAGGAAUACCCGCUGAACUUAAGCAUAUCAAUAAGCGGAGGA
Molecule: unclassified non-coding RNA, 343 nt
Filed under: soil metagenome
Description: partial contains 5.8S ribosomal RNA, internal transcribed spacer 2, and large subunit ribosomal RNA
Rfam family: 5.8S ribosomal RNA (bases 1-120)
Source: RNAcentral